UCGAUGAGUUAGGAUAUUGUGACUUCAACAAAGCAGCUCGUUAGAAUAAGAACUUAAACAUGAGAAAAGCACGAAAUCCAAUGCAAGUAAGAACUUAAACAUGAGAAAAGCACGAAAUUCAAUGCGAGUUUGUAUACCAUAUUCUACCUGGAACAAGAAAGGGUGCUUCCACCGAUCACAAAUACAAGUCCAUCUAGGUUUGUGCUAAGUCAAACUUUUCUAAUUUUGACCAGAAAUAUCUAUAAAAAUAUAGCAUCGUCUAAUGAAAAGAGUUAUAUCUUAUGAAAGGAAUUGAUGAUCAACAGAAAAGGCUUGACUUAGGACAAAUCUAAGUUGUAUUUGUGAUAGGAGGAAGUUACAGCUUAUGUUAACAUCACGAGUAAUAGCUACCGUAUGCAUCCACUCAGCUAUGAACAAUUCUAAAAAAACAAAGGUUUAAAUAUAGAGGUCAGUUAUGCAGGUACACUGCAUUAGUCAAUGUGACAUUAAGGUUCAACUCAGGAAAGACAACUAUUAUACACAGAUAAUGUCAAAAGCACG
RNAcentral lists this long non-coding RNA (540 nucleotides) under Setaria italica (foxtail millet). RNAcentral describes it as "long non-coding RNA (SITA_LNC006487)". Lineage: Eukaryota; Viridiplantae; Streptophyta; Magnoliopsida; Poales; Poaceae. The record is from RNAcentral.